UGUCCGUCCCUGUACGCGCCCGUCCGUCUGUCUGUCCUCCCCGCGCCCCCGGCAUCCCUGGGUCCGUCCGUCUGUCCGUCCGUCCCCGUUCAUCCCUGUGAUGUCCGUCCGUCCCUAUACCCGCCCGUCCCUGUGGUGUCCGUCUGUCUGUCCUCCCCCUACCCCCACGUCCCUGCGUCUGUCUGUCUGUCUGUCCCUACACCCAUCCACCCCUUUGUCUGUCUGUCUGUCCCCAUCCCCAUUCAUUCCCACAUCCCCGUGUCUGUCUGUCCGUCUGUCCCUACACCCAUCCAUCCCUGUGUCCGUCCGUCUGUCCCCAUCCCUGUUCAUUCCCACAUCCCUGUGUCUGUCUGUCCGUCUGUCCCUAUACCCCCUUUAUCAGCCCCACAUCCCUGUCCGUCUGUCCGUCCCCAUAUCCAUUUAUCAGCCCCGCGUCCCCAUGUCUGUCAGUCUGUCCAUCUGUCCGUCCCUAUACCCGCCCGUCCCUAUGGUGUCCAUCUGUCUGUCCUCCCUGCACCCCCACGUCCCUCUGUCCAUCUGUCUGUCCAUCCCUACACCCGUCCGUCCCCAAAUCCCUGUGUCCGUCUGUCUGUCCGUCUGUCCCUAUGCCCCUUUAUCAACCCCGUAUCCCUGUGUCUGUCUGUCCGUCCCUGUACCCAUCCAUCCCUCUGAUGUCCGUCUGUCUGUCUGUCCAUCCCCGUGCCCAUUCAUCCCCGUCUCCCCGCUGCCCCUCUGUCCGUCUGUCUGUCCCUGUACCCCCUCAUCCCAAUACCCCGUGUCUGUCUGUCUGUCCGCCCGUCCCUAUACUCCUUUAUCAGCCUCAUGUCUUCGUGUCCAUCUGUCUGUCUGUCCCCAUACCCACUCAUCCCCACAUUCCCGUGUCCGUCUGUCUGUCCCUACACCCGUCAGUCCCUCUGAUGUCCGUCUGUCCCAGUAUCUGUUUAUCAGCUCCAUACCUCGCUGUCCGUCUGUCUGUCCAUAUACCACUUUAUCAGCCUCAUAUCCUUCUGUCUGUCUGUUCCCAUGUCCGUCUGUCCCUGUACCCAUCCAUCCCUCUAUCUGCCCCCAUAUCCCCGUGUCCGUCCGUCUGUCCCUAUACCCACUCAUCCCGAUAUCCCUGAGUCCGUCCGUCUGUCCGUCCCUGUACCCUUUUAUCCUGUCUGUCUGUCUGCCCCCCAUUUAUCCGCCCCGUAUCCCUUUGUCUGUCUGUCUGUCUGUCCCUCC
Molecule: long non-coding RNA, 1224 nt
Filed under: Phasianus colchicus (ring-necked pheasant)
Lineage: Eukaryota; Metazoa; Chordata; Aves; Galliformes; Phasianidae
Description: lncRNA (ENSPCLG00000016524.1)
Source: RNAcentral